UGCCAACUGAGCCACCCGCCACCACAUUUCAAACGCACCUUUUGCGGUGACGUAUUUCCGUUUACAUUUAACACACGUUGAUCACUUCCAGUUGCCACACGCGCUCUAUUGUUUUUGUUGGUAACUGCUAGAGCUAAACCAUGAAAAGAACUCAAAAGUUUAAACAUUUGCGGGCUACAGGUUCAGCAGCGGAGUUCUGUUGUGUGCCAUUUUGCCCAAUGACUAGUAGGUAUAAUAGAGUACUUAGUUUUUUCCAUUUUCCUUCUAAUUUGGAGUUAAGGCAACAGUGGAUAGUGGCUGUCCGCAGGGAAAACUUGAUAAUUAAAGCUCACACUCGCGUGUGUAGCCGGCAUUUCAAACUUCGGGAUAUCAAAGAGCCAGCAUCACAAAUGGGAAGACGGCGGUUAAAAUGUGGAGCUGUACCAGUAUUAUUUGAGUGGAACAAUUACUCUCUUCCAUGUCCAAAACCGAGGAGUUUGGAGAAAGUAGCCGUGGAUGUCCUUAAGGAACAUAAUUAUGCCUCAGUUCCUGAACCAGCAGUGGUGGAUUUAGUGUCGGAAAAUAAUAUUCUUAGGAAAGAAAUCCACCAAACACAGGAACAGAUUGGGAGCCUUAUGCUGAAGCAGCGUUUUGGCAUUCACCGUUUUGCUUCGUCCGACAAGGACAUUCAAUUCUUCACAAGGUUUGCAUCUUAUGACCACCUAAUGCGUUUCUGGGCAUUGAUUGAGCCGUUUCUGCCAACUAUGAUCAGUGUUCGACAAAACAUCGACACCACUCCCUCAACGCAUUCCCUACAGCCCAUUGAGGAGUUCUUCCUGUUCCUAAGCUUCCUUGCCCUUGGAUCCAAGCAACAGGACCUUGCGGAUCAGUAUGGCAUCCAUCAGUCCUCAAUCAUCCAGAUCAUCACAGCAUGGAGCAACUUUUUAUUCAUGGUACUCGGCUCAAUUAGAAUCUGGAUACCAGAGGAUCAGAUUCACAAAAAUCUACCCAGAGACUUCGAGGACUACCCUGACACUACAGUCAUCAUUGACAGCAUUUAGCUGAGGUGUCAGUGUCCAUCUUCCCCUCUCCUCCAGAGUGAGGUGUCUUCUUUUUACAAAUCCCACUGCACUCUCAAGGGGCUCAUUGGGAUUGCACCUCACGGGCCAGUGACAUUCAUCUCCAGACUGCACACAGGGUCCAUCAGUGACAAGCAGAUCACGUGUGAAUCUGGUCUCCUGGCCCUCUUAAAACCAGGGAUGGCUGUCAUGGUAGACGGAGGCUUUCCUAUUGACGACAUCGUACCCUGCAAGGUUUACAGGCCAGAAUUUCUCUCUGGCGGGUCUCAGAUGCCUGCGGGGGAAGUGAGGAAGACGGAGGUCAUAGCACGUCUUAGGGUGCACGUGGAGUGCCUUGUUCGCCGGGUCAAAGAGCACAAAUUGUUUGACUCUGAAAUUCCCCUUGGCGUUUUUGGGAUUAUCAACCAACUGUACACUGUUGCUUGCCUACUCACAAAUUAUGAAAAUGCCCUCUAGCUACUGCUUGGCCAAAGAAGCCUGACAAAGUAUGUUGCAUCUUUACUGUUCAUUUUGUAAUACUGUUUGCUACUGCCAUAAAAUUAAAUUACUUUUUCAUAAUA
Poecilia reticulata (guppy) is the source of this 1618-nucleotide long non-coding RNA. RefSeq lists it as uncharacterized. Lineage: Eukaryota; Metazoa; Chordata; Actinopteri; Cyprinodontiformes; Poeciliidae. The record is from RefSeq and is a predicted model, not a curated record.